GGUUGGUCCAAGUGCAGUGGUGUUUACAACUAAUUGCUCACAACCAGUUACAGAUUCCUUUGUUCCUUCUCCACUCCCACUGCUCCACUUGAGCAGCCUUUA
Unclassified non-coding RNA from Prolemur simus (greater bamboo lemur), 102 nucleotides. It matches the Rfam family "Y RNA". From Rfam's summary of the family: Y RNAs are components of the Ro ribonucleoprotein particle (Ro RNP), in association with Ro60 and La proteins. The record is from Ensembl. NCBI's taxonomy places the organism in Eukaryota, Metazoa, Chordata, Mammalia, Primates, Lemuridae.